AUUGAACGCUGGCGGCAGGCUUAACACAUGCAAGUCGAGCGGGGGAAGGUAGCUUGCUACUGGACCUAGUGGCGGACGGGUGAGUAAUGCUUAGGAAUCUGCCUAUUAGUGGGGGACAACAUCUCGAAAGGGAUGCUAAUACCGCAUACGUCCUACGGGAGAAAGCAGGGGAUCUUCGGACCUUGCGCUAAUAGAUGAGCCUAAGUCGGAUUAGCUAGUUGGUGGGGUAAAGGCCUACCAAGGCGACGAUCUGUAGCGGGUCUGAGAGGAUGAUCCGCCACACUGGGACUGAGACACGGCCCAGACUCCUCCGGGAGGCAGCAGUGGGGAAUAUUGGAAAAUGGGGGGAACCCUGAUCCAGCCAUGCCGCGUGUGUGAAGAAGGCCUUAUGGUUGUAAAGCACUUUAAGCGAGGAGGAGGCUACUUUAGUUAAUACCUAGAGAUAGUGGACGUUACUCGCAGAAUAAGCACCGGCUAACUCUGUGCCAGCAGCCGCCGUAA
This 501-nucleotide ribosomal RNA is filed under the name uncultured bacterium. Its description in RNAcentral is "partial 16S ribosomal RNA". It matches the Rfam family "Bacterial small subunit ribosomal RNA", at positions 30 to 523 of the family's 1533-position model. The record is from RNAcentral.